GACGAACGCUGGCGGCGUGCUUAACACAUGCAAGUCGAACGGUGAAGCGCCUUCCUUUUUGGUGGGUGUGGAUGAGUGGCGAACUGGUGAGUAACACCUGAGUAACCUGCCCCCUUCUUCUGGAUAACCGCAUGAAAGUGUGGCUAAUACGGGAUAUUCUCGGUCUGUCGCAUGAUGAGUCUGGGAAAGUUCUUGUCUCGGAGGGGGAUGGGCUCGCGGCCUAUCAGCUUGUUGGUGGGGUGGUGGCCUACCAAGGCGGUGACGGGUAGCCGGCUUGAGAGAGUGGACGGUCACACUGGGACUGAGACACGGCCCAGACGCCUACGUGAGACAGCAGUGGGGAAUAUUGCACCAUGGUCGCAAGCCUGAUGCAGCGACGCCGCGUGAGGGAUGGAGGCCUUCGGGUUGUGAACCUCUUUCGCCAGUGAGGCAGGCCUGCCACGUUUGUGUGUGGGUUGACGGUAGCUGGAUAAGAAGCGCCGGCUAACUACGUG
This 494-nucleotide ribosomal RNA is filed under the name uncultured bacterium. RNAcentral's name for it is "partial 16S ribosomal RNA". It matches the Rfam family "Bacterial small subunit ribosomal RNA", at positions 28 to 507 of the family's 1533-position model. The record is from RNAcentral.